Molecule: long non-coding RNA, 311 nt
Organism: Haemorhous mexicanus (house finch)
Lineage: Eukaryota; Metazoa; Chordata; Aves; Passeriformes; Fringillidae
Exons: 3
Source: RefSeq, a predicted model, not a curated record
CCCUUAAUUGUUUCUGCAGGGGAGAUGCUCUCAGGCAAGCAAAGUGAUCGCAGAUAAGACAGAGAUAAGACAUAAUCCCCACACCACAAGCAGCACUCUCAGGGAGAAGGCAGAGCAGGCCAUCUGGAACCGUCUGCAGCACCUCAAGGCGCUGAAGGCCCGGCGGCCCCAGGCUCGUGCUCCACUCCGCGUCGGGAUCCUGGGAUGCAUGGCCGAGAGGCUUAAGGAGGAGAUUCUGCACAGAGAGAAGCUGGUCGAUAUUGUGGCAGGCCCUGAUGCCUACAGUGACCUCUCUGUGCUGAAGUUCCUGU